This 115-nucleotide non-coding RNA is filed under the name bovine gut metagenome. Its description in RNAcentral is "FMN riboswitch (RFN element)". It matches the Rfam family "FMN riboswitch aptamer (RFN element)". From Rfam's summary of the family: The RFN element is a highly conserved domain that is found frequently in the 5'-untranslated regions of prokaryotic mRNAs that encode for flavin mononucleotide (FMN) biosynthesis and transport proteins. The record is from RNAcentral.
UGUCUUCGGGGCAGGGUGCAAGUCCCUACCGGCGGUAUAGUCCGCGACUUCUGAUAGAUUCAGAACUGAUCGGGUGCAAUUCCCGAACCGACGGUCACAGUCCGGAUGAAAGAAG